UAGCUCAGCUGGUAGAGUGCUUGCCUCACAAGCACAAGGUCCUGGGUUCAAUCCCCAG
This 58-nucleotide transfer RNA is filed under the name Ictidomys tridecemlineatus (thirteen-lined ground squirrel). RNAcentral describes it as "Spermophilus tridecemlineatus (thirteen-lined ground squirrel) tRNA". It matches the Rfam family "tRNA", at positions 8 to 63 of the family's 71-position model. From Rfam's summary of the family: Transfer RNA (tRNA) molecules are approximately 80 nucleotides in length. Lineage: Eukaryota; Metazoa; Chordata; Mammalia; Rodentia; Sciuridae. The record is from Rfam by way of RNAcentral.